ACGGUCCUAAGGUAGCGAAAUUCCUUGUCGGGUAAGUUCCGACCUGCACGAAUGGCAUAAUGAUGGCCAGGCUGUCUCCACCCGAGACUCAGUGAAAUUGAAAUCGCCGUGAAGAUGCGGUGUACCCGCGGCUAGACGGAAAGACCCCGUGAACCUUUACUAUAGCUUGACACUGAACAUUGAAUUUUGAUGUGUAGGAUAGGUGGGAGACUUUGAAGAUGAUACGCCAGUAUUGUUGGAGUCGUCCUUGAAAUACCACCCUUUAACGUUUGAUGUUCUAACGAAGAUUACGAAACGUGGUCUCGGACAGUGUCUGGUGGGUAGUUUGACUGGGGCGGUCUCCUCCCAAAGAGUAACGGAGGAGCACGAAGGUUUGCUAAUGACGGUCGGACAUCGUCAGGUUAGUGCAAUGGUAUAAGCAAGCUUAACUGCGAGACAGACAAGUCGAGCAGGUACGAAAGUAGGUCAUAGUGAUCCGGUGGUUCUGAAUGGAAGGGCCAUCGCUCAACGGAUAAAAGGUACUCCGGGGAUAACAGGCUGAUACCGCCCAAGAGUUCAUAUCGACGGCGGUGUUUGGCACCUCGAUGUCGGCUCAUCACAUCCUGGGGCUGAAGUAGGUCCCAAGGGUAUGGCUGUUCGCCAUUUAAAGUGGUACGCGAGCUGGGUUUAGAACGUCGUGAGACAGUUCGGUCCCUAUCUGCCGUGGGCGUUGGAGAAUUGAUUGGGGCUGCUCCUAGUACGAGAGGACCGGAGUGGACGCACCACUGGUGUUCCGGUUGUGUCGCCAGACGCAUUGCCGGGUAGCUAAGUGCGGAAGAGAUAAGUGCUGAAAGCAUCUAAGCACGAAACUUGCCAAGAGAUGAGUUCUCCCUGUUUUUAAGACAGUAAGGGUUGUUUAAGACUAAGACGUAGAUAGGUCUGGUGUGUAAGCGGUGCGAGCCGUUGAGCUAACAGAUACUAAUUGCCCGAGAGGCUUAACUAU
This 982-nucleotide ribosomal RNA is filed under the name human oral metagenome. RNAcentral's name for it is "bacterial LSU rRNA". It matches the Rfam family "Bacterial large subunit ribosomal RNA", at positions 1945 to 2925 of the family's 2925-position model. The record is from RNAcentral.